GCGUGUUCUGAGCGGACGGCGUCAGAAGGACUGAGCCGUCUCCCAGAAGUAUGGGAGGAAAACGCUGUGCUGUGCGGGUCCGGCGGGGAAAGGUAAGUGAUUGUUACAGUACCCCCCCCUCGAGAACCGCCAACAGCGGGCAGAACCAGACCCACGUGAACGUCACCUCUCAAAGAAACGAACCAGGCAAGGGGCGUGAACAUCAGAGGUAUCCGCCCAUGAACGUUCCUCGGGACCGUAUCCUCUCCAAUCUAGGAGAUACUGCAAUUUACCCCUGGAAAUACGGGAAUCUAAUAUAGACUUAACUUCGUAUUCAUUCUGAUCUUCUAUGAGUGCGUCAGGAGGAUUCGAGGUAUUUUGAGUAUAAUGAUUACAUAUUAAAGGUUUGAGGAGGGAAACAUGAAAAGAGUUAGAAAUCUUCAUGGCAUUCGGCAAGCGCAUGCUAUAACAGACUGGGUUAAUGCGUCUGAGUACUUGUAAAGGAC
Molecule: non-coding RNA, 485 nt
Organism: Pelobates cultripes (western spadefoot toad)
Lineage: Eukaryota; Metazoa; Chordata; Amphibia; Anura; Pelobatidae
Source: the annotation of a GenBank genome assembly